UCCUCAUUCAGGUGUCUGUACAUUGGGGAGGUGGCCACUAUCUAGAUAGUAAGGGAUCCAUACUCCCUCUGUCUGGUACCUGAGCCAUCUCAUCCUGUGGUUUCUAAGGUUGACAGAAAAAAAAAAGGAGGAUGGAGAAAGCAUAGCUUUUGAAUUGUGUUGGCUUUCUAGAAUUGACAGAUAUCACUUUUACUCACAGUGCAUUGGCUAGACCUAGUCAUACGGGACCAUCAUAGCCCUCGGGGAGACUGGGAAAUUUAGAGGAGCAUGUGGAACAUUUUGAUAGCACCAAUUGUCUAUACUAAAGGGAGUGAAGAAAUAACCUGUAUUUUUUCUGUCUCAGCAUCCCUUGUCUUCUAAUGUAAUUUAAAAGUUAUAGUAAAGUUUAAAGAAUAAAAUGACGAUCACAUUCCCCCACGCCCUAACUAAACAAGUGUUAAGAUUUUGUCAUAUUUGUCUCCAUUUGUUUAUUUGUAUAAUGGCUAUCAUGAAGCUAUAAUCCAUGUAAUAUGAAGUUUCCCCUUUUAAAGGCAAUGAGUCGAUGGAUUUUGGUAUAGACACAGGUUGUGCAGAUAUAGAAUGUUAGAUCAUUUUUAUGAUCUCCAAGAGAAACACCAUACUUGUUAACAGUCAUUCACUGCUCCCC
Molecule: long non-coding RNA, 646 nt
Filed under: Marmota monax (woodchuck)
Lineage: Eukaryota; Metazoa; Chordata; Mammalia; Rodentia; Sciuridae
Source: RNAcentral